CCCCCCCCCCUCUGGACUUUAUUCCCAUUUCCGUCUCUACUCUUCAUUUAAUACAUCUUUAUACUGGGGCAGUUGCCUUUCAGUGUAUUACAUCCCUUCCUAGCAUGGCCUCCCCUGACCCAGGUCUCCUUAAAUGGGAAUGAUGAUCUCUCAGACUAGAGUCUCUGAUGCUGGUCUUGAUGUCAAAAAUAAAAUUCUGACUCAUUUGGAGAACUGGAUACUUGAGUUUCAGAGAAGGGGCCGACAAGGGGGCCUAAACUUGGUUUGUGCUUCUCAUUGGUUGUCUCCUGUUUUCAUCUUUCUAGCAUGAUUAUUCUGGAAGCCCUUUCAGAUGAGGUACUGAUCUGGUGGGUUAAGGUGGAGUUCGUCCUCUUGGAGAAAUGCUGUGCAGAGAUGUCUGUGACGCCUAGGUAAUGGCUCUUGCCACUUGAACCUCCAGGCUGUGAUGAGCAGUGAAGAGCCACGUUCUAUCUCCCUGGCUACUAUGGGUUUUGUUAAUGCAGAGGAUAUCUCCUAUCUGGUGUUGGGCAGAUCCUAGGACAUCCUUCUGGCUUACCUGCAUUAACCUGUGUGAGCAGCUGUCAACUUACUGGAGGAAAGAAACUGUCCAGAAAUACUGAGGCACUUAAAUAUUUUUAGACCAAUUAGACUUCUUUAAUGUAAAUACUUGUUCUUAUGAAAAGGAUUCCAAUAAAAUAUUUUUUUUUUUUUU
Molecule: long non-coding RNA, 712 nt
Organism: Ailuropoda melanoleuca (giant panda)
Lineage: Eukaryota; Metazoa; Chordata; Mammalia; Carnivora; Ursidae
Exons: 2
Source: RefSeq, a predicted model, not a curated record